GUGAAUUUUUCAGCAACACAUACAAUGAAAUUAAAACAAUAUAAAGAUUAGCAUUGCUCUUGAGCAAGGAUGAUAAGCAAAUUCAUGGAGCAUUACAUAUGUUU
Octodon degus (degu) is the source of this 104-nucleotide small nuclear RNA. NCBI's taxonomy places the organism in Eukaryota, Metazoa, Chordata, Mammalia, Rodentia, Octodontidae. The record is from Ensembl.